UUCUUCCACUAAAAAGAAUGGUGCUAAAACUGUAAUUCAGGUCUUGUCCUGUUUUAUGCAGUAAUGCCAGUACUGUUUGUCAGUGGAAGGAGAACACUUUGCUCUGCACCUGAAAUGGAACUUGGCCGGACCUCUUUCUUAAUGUCCAGUGGCCAUUGUUUCAAGGUCCAGCGCCACAUCG
This is a small nucleolar RNA of Alosa alosa (allis shad), 181 nucleotides long. RefSeq annotates it as small nucleolar RNA SNORA81. NCBI's taxonomy places the organism in Eukaryota, Metazoa, Chordata, Actinopteri, Clupeiformes, Clupeidae. The transcript has a single exon. The record is from RefSeq and is a predicted model, not a curated record.